This 320-nucleotide ribosomal RNA is filed under the name uncultured Glomus. RNAcentral describes it as "SSU rRNA". It matches the Rfam family "Eukaryotic small subunit ribosomal RNA", at positions 569 to 896 of the family's 1831-position model. Lineage: Eukaryota; Fungi; Glomeromycota; Glomeromycetes; Glomerales; Glomeraceae. The record is from RNAcentral.
AGCAGCCGCGGUAAUUCCAGCUCCAAUAGCGUAUAUUAAAGUUGUUGCAGUUAAAAAGCUCGUAGUUGAAUUUCGAGAUCAAAUUGUUGGUCGUGCCUUGGUACGCACUGGCAUUAUUGGUUUCUCCCUUCUGAAGAACCAUGAUGUCAUUAAUUUGGUGUCUUGGGGAAUCAGGACUGUUACUUUGAAAAAAUUGAGUGUUUAAAGCAGGCUCGCGCUUGAAUACAUUAGCAUGGAAUAAUGAAAUAGGACGUUUGAUUCUAUUUUGUUGGUUUCUAGGAUCGACGUAAUGAUUAAUAGGGAUAGUUGGGGCAUUAGUA